GACGAACGCUGGCGGCGUGCUUAACACAUGCAAGUCGAACGGUGAAGCGCCUUCCUUUUUGGUGGGUGUGGAUGAGUGGCGAACGGGUGAGUAACACGUGAGUAACCUGCCCCCUUCUUCUGGAUAACCGCAUGAAAGUGUGGCUAAUACGGGAUAUUCUGGGUCUGUCGCAUGAUGGGUCUGGGAAAGAUAUUGUUUCGGUGGGGGAUGGGCUCGCGUCCUAUCAGCUUGUUGGUGGGGUGAUGGCCUACCAAGGCGGUGACGGGUAGCCGGCCUGAGAGGGUGGACGGUAACAGUGGGACUGAGACCCAGCCCAGACUCCUACGGGCGGCAGAGGUGGGCAAUAUUGCACAAUGGGCGCAAGCAUGAUGCAGCGACGCCGCGUGAGGGAUGGAGGCCUUCGGGUUGUGAACCUCUUUCGCAAGUGAAGCAGGCCUGCCUCGUUUGUGGGUGGGUUGACGGUAGCUGGAUAAGAAGCGCCGGCUAACUACGUG
This 494-nucleotide ribosomal RNA is filed under the name uncultured bacterium. Its description in RNAcentral is "partial 16S ribosomal RNA". It matches the Rfam family "Bacterial small subunit ribosomal RNA", at positions 28 to 507 of the family's 1533-position model. The record is from RNAcentral.